AUUAGGUUGCUCAACAUAACGGUGGUUACGAGUUUUGAAAGAAAAUAUUGAAGACUUUAAAACUAUGAGAAGAAAGAAAAAAGUAAUAAAAAAAGUAAUCUUCUAUCUUCGUGAUUAUAUGUUUUUGGAAGGAAAGUAUAAGGAAAAUAGAGUAUUGCUUUUUACCUUGAGAGAAUAAAAUUUAAAAUUUAUUUUCAGUUUUAAGACGUCUAU
RNAcentral lists this long non-coding RNA (213 nucleotides) under Panax ginseng (ginseng). RNAcentral's name for it is "long non-coding RNA (PGIN_LNC013923)". The record is from RNAcentral. Lineage: Eukaryota; Viridiplantae; Streptophyta; Magnoliopsida; Apiales; Araliaceae.